UUUUUAACGGCCGCGGUACUCUGACCGUGCAAAGGUAGGAUAAUCAUUUGACCUUAUAAUUGAAGGCUAGAAUGAAUGGUUUGACAAGAAUACAACUGUCUCUUUACAAUUACAUAAAAUUUUAUCUGCAGUUGAAGAAGCCUGCAUUUGAAUAAAAGACAAGAAGACCCUAUCGAGCUUAAAAAAAACUGGUGGAAUAACAAACUUAAUCCUAACUUAUAAAUAAAUAAAUAGUCAACUACUGGAAAUUUUGGUUGGGGCGACCGGGGAACAAAAAAAACUUCCUUUAUAAAAAUUUAGAUGCCCAAAUAUUGAUCCAGCAUUAUAUGAUUAAAGAAAUUAGUUUCCUUAAGGAUAACAGCAUUAUCUUUUUUAAGAGUUCUUAUCGAAACCCCCUUUGUGACCUCGAUGUUGGACCAGAAUAUCCUAAAGAUGCAGCCGUCUUAAGG
This 449-nucleotide ribosomal RNA is filed under the name Turbinella rapa. Its description in RNAcentral is "partial 16S ribosomal RNA". It matches the Rfam family "Bacterial large subunit ribosomal RNA", at positions 1921 to 2570 of the family's 2925-position model. The record is from RNAcentral. Lineage: Eukaryota; Metazoa; Mollusca; Gastropoda; Neogastropoda; Turbinellidae.